Molecule: long non-coding RNA, 4463 nt
Organism: Mesocricetus auratus (golden hamster)
Lineage: Eukaryota; Metazoa; Chordata; Mammalia; Rodentia; Cricetidae
Exons: 2
Source: RefSeq, a predicted model, not a curated record
GCAGCACUGAGUGCAGAGGGGCCGAUGGCUACUUCAGUGAAGACGUUGGACUCCGCUAUCCACCAGCGCAGGGUGUCAGCUCCAUAGGGAGGCUCUUUGCUCGGAUCCUUUUCAUUGAAAAACAACAGGACAGGGUCUGCAUGCAGCCCAAGCUGACCACCUCAGAUCCCCUCAUCUCCACCUCCAGAGGGAUUGGAGGAAACUGGAACUUUCUUACAAACUGUACCUAUCACAACAGACUAACCCUAUGUCCUCUUCUGGACAACAGUGCCUCAGCGAGUGCCCUGUCCCAGAGCCUGGAAGAGCAGUGCUGCGGCUUGCCGAUGGCUGGCCUCUGCACAUCUGCCCCAGCCGUGUGGCACACGCGGGCAGGCACUCGGGAUUAUCACAGCAGCUUCACUUUGCACAGAGCGAGCACUUACUUGAAAGGUGCUUUUGUCCUUGUGGCCGCCCUUGUUAAUAAGGAAGACUGGAACCAGCCCCCGAGUUGGUCCUUCCCCUCCAGGUACAAGUCAGCCCUCUGCUCAGUGCCUGAAAUGGAUUAACACCAAGAUGAAGCUAACAGAACAAGAAUAAAACCAAGUGUGUGUUGGGGGCUUGAGGUAAGCAAACCGUGCUCUGCUGUGACCACACUCUGCCGCAGUGAAGCCCAUCCACCACGUGUAGAGUGCACGGAAGUCAUGUGACAGGCAGGUGUGAAUGACAGUUUAAUACACCCAAGGCCCAGCAUGACUCUCGCCCUGACCGUCCCUGGCCACCAAAACCACAUCCAGCAUUAAGUGUUCUUAAGUGUUGUGACAGUGAGAGUCAGUAGCUCUGCUGCCGAGGACAGUGAAUGAGUGCUGUCUGUUACCACUCUGCACGUGGCACGCUAGGUCCUGAGACUGAGGAGGCUGUCCCAGUGUGCCAGCAGGGCUGGAGAGAUGGCUCAGCCAUUAAAGGCGUGGCUCACUGCAAAUGUGCCUGCAGAAAAUGCACAAGUAGUGCCGCUCACCUACACGGCCUACAAAAGCACAGGGACAAAACACCUAAGCCUGCAAUAUGGCCUCAAGUGUGUCCAGGAAAACAUAGUUAGGAAAAGUACCGAAAGCUAAUAUACAAAAAUGUAUUUAAAUUAACAUCUCGUUAGCCAGCAUAAUCUUAAUGGAUGCACAUGAAUUUAUAUGUAUUUGGCUUUCCAUCUGCUGACGCUGCGAAGUCCAGAUGAAGAAUUUACAUUGAUCUGCUAGGUCCCUAGAGCACACCCCCACAGUGAGGUCUCGGGUCACACUUACUCCAUGUGAAACCUGAAGGUAAUCCUUUAGUGUCCAGCUGCACAGAGCAGCUGCUGCCUCCAGCCCCUUGCUUUAGAAAGCAGGAAGCCCUGUGGUCACAGCUGGCCCUUUGUGGGGCAUGAGGGGCUGAGCCCUGCUGUGAGUAAUCUCCCUGUACACUGUGAGGACACAUUGCUCUCACUGAUAAAGAAAGCUGAUUGGCUGGCAGCUAGGGCAGAAAGAAUGCUGGGAAGUAAGGCAGGGUCUCCAGAGUUGUGAGCCAGAUGGGAAGCAGGGAAGCAGCAGCAGGGGCAGUUCACUGACGAGGUGAUGAGCCCGGGGCAGCACAGGGAGGGAGGCAUAGGAAUGGGCUCAUCUAAGCUGUAGGAGCUGAAGACAAGCCUCGGUGUUGGCUGAGCAUUUAUAAUAAUGACGAGUCUCCGCCUGGUUGGUGGGAUAGGAAACUCUGCCCCCAGAGCCUUCCCCGACUCUAAGCUCCCUGUGCUGUCAGGUUUUCUUCAUUCUAUGUCUAACUCCUUGGGAUCCUCCAGCGUUUUCUUCUGACGCAUCUGCACACAGCUGCCUCCUCCUGUCCCCUCUGAUUCUUGACUAUGCCUCCACUGUCUUCAUCCCAUGAGUCAACACUUCCCUAGCUGGGAGUGUGAGUUGUCUGUAGUGAGAGGGCACUUAGGAAGGUUCACAGAGGGCACAAGAAUGGGGCUGGACAGCAGAGGCCCACACGUGCACUCGGACACCAGCAGCUACGUGACCUCUGUGUCCUGGCUCUAACUGGAUCCCUGGUGAGACAUGAUGGGGUCACAUUAUAACAAUGAUUUCCAAACUGGGUGCCUUGGGGUUGCCAAGUAGGCCAGAGAAGAAACUGCUGAUGAAGAGGGGGGAUUAAAAACACCACCACCACCAAAAACAAAAAAAGCUCAAAACCAAAAUAACAGAUUUUGUCGAUUGUUUAAGAGCUAGGGUAUUCUAUGUAGCUCAGGUUAACCUCCUACCUCCGUCUCCCAAGCUGACUAAAAGUUUCCAUUCAAAUUUUAACUAGUACAGUUCUAAACAAGGUUUCACCUUGAGGGAAAAAAUUAGGUAUGCUGGGAAAUCACUGGACUAAGGAUGUCCCGGGCCUUCCCAGAUCUGAACUGCAGCAGACUGCGGUGUGUGGAUGGGAAGGCCCCACAGGCUCAUCUGAAUGCUUAGUCACCAGGGAGUGAACAUGACUGGAAGGCUUAAGUGAUCGGCCUUGGAGGAAGCGCGUCACUGGGGGUGAACUCUGAGGGAUCAAAAGCCCACGCCAGGCAUGGGUUCUCUCACAGCCUGUGGAUCAGGAUGUAGCUCCCAGCUAUUGCUGCAGCACCUGCCUGCACACUGCCAGGCUUCCUGCCAUGACGACAAUGGACCAAACCUCUGAAACUAUAAGCCAGUCCCUAAGUAAAAGCUCUCUUUCCUAAGAGAUGCCUUAGUCAUAGUGGUUUGGUUUUUCCAUCACAAUAUAACACUGACUACAACACUGACUCUCCCAGAUAAGGAAAAAAGCAAACAAUAACCCACACAAUGUUUGUGGUCGAAGACCUAAGAACUUUUCUGUAUUUUCAAAACUGUGCUAUUAUUGUUGCUUUGCAUGUGUCUCACUGUGCAUGAGUGGUGUACAUGUGACCUCAGAGGACAGCUCUAGAAGACUGCGCUCUCCUUCUCCCUUUGCAUGGGCUCCAGGAACCAAGCUAGGGGAAUGGCCUUGUGUAAUGGGUACCUUUAACUGCUGAGCAUCUUGUCAGCUUUCAGAACUUAACUGGAAGCCAGGAGGUAGUAGUGCAUGCUGUUAAACCCAGGAUGCAGGAGGCAGAGGUAGGUAGAUCUCUAUGAGUUCAGGGCCAGCCUGGUCUACAAGCCUGGUCUACAAAGGGAGUUCCAGGAUAGGCUCCAAAGCUACACAGAGAAAUCCUGUUUCAAAAAUAAACAAACAAACAAAAUCUAACUUUUAGAAAUUACCUGAAAGAGGAGCUGGCUGGAUGAGUCGUGGGUAGUCAGUGGCAGUCCUCUGUUUUUUUCUGAGGACUAGAGUUCAUUUCCCAGCACCUACAUUGGGGGACUAAGAACUGCCUGCAACUCCAGCUCCAGGGGAUUCAGCGCCCUCCUACCUCCAUGGGCACUUGCGCGCGCGCACGCACACACACACACACACACACACACACACACACACACAGAAAAAUCCUAAUAGAAAAUUACCUGGAAGAACACAAAACCAUGAAGUUCCACUGUCGAACCAGAUGUCCAAAAUAUCCUGCCCCGGCACGUAUUCCAAAGCAUCGGGACCGCCAGCCUAUGGAGACAGCAGAGGAAGACUCAACCUACAGAGGCCACACCGUCACAGGAAAUCUCCAUGGAACCGAGUGAUCCCUGGAAACCAUGCAAGGCAAAGGCGAGCUCUCCAGAGCUGCCCUGAGGUCACACGCACAGCGUUUUAAGAAAGUGAAACACAACCAAUCAAAUUCACAGCUUUAAAAUGCACUUCACAGCUGCAUACAACCCCUGCUGCAGUAUGGAAAGUGAGUGGCCACGUGAUGACACUGCUACGGAGCAACAAUCACUUCUUCAUCUCCCGGUUAACUCCCAGGAUGCUCUCUGACAGAAGACAGACGCCAUAGGGUGUAUACACUGUGGCCGAGCUUACACAGCCCUGCUGCUCCAACAGGAGGGACUUCCUCCGUGGUAGCAUCUGUUUAGUCACCCAAAGACAGGCAGGACAACCAGGGCCCCAGGGAGGUUACAAAUACCCCAAGUUCAUUCCACCGCUGUGCUACAAACUAUGCUUCGACUGCAAGGAAAACUGCUCACUUCUAAUCUGCAUCCGCCUCUGCCUCUAAUUCUGAAAAGCAAACUCAGGUUUUCCAACACGGUCACUUAAAAUCCCUUUUACCUCCAAGAGUCACUCACAUUUUCACUACGGGCAAUUUACCUGCGCUACAACAUCCUCUGGGAGAAGCUGCUCAGGGCGGAGGGUCCACCAGACAUCGCUGCCAUGCUGCUCCACUAGCUUAGUAAGGUGCUCGAUGGUUUUGCUGUUGGGGAAAGAGGUGAAAUCAGCAACCUGUUAUCAUGAUGAAUGACAACCGCUUGUCACUUAUUGGUCCUCUAAUUCAGUAGAAUCUUAAAUCGCUUGCUCAGUACAAAUAAAAUCAUCUUGGUCAUACACAUCCCUAA